This 417-nucleotide ribosomal RNA is filed under the name uncultured Streptococcus sp. RNAcentral's name for it is "bacterial SSU rRNA". It matches the Rfam family "Bacterial small subunit ribosomal RNA", at positions 962 to 1382 of the family's 1533-position model. The record is from RNAcentral. Lineage: Bacteria; Bacillati; Bacillota; Bacilli; Lactobacillales; Streptococcaceae.
CGAAGAACCUUACCAGGUCUUGACAUCCGAUGCUAUUCUAGAGAUUAGAAGUUACUUCGGUACAUCGGUGACAGGUGGUGCAUGGUUGUCGUCAGCUCGUGUCGUGAGAUGUUGGGUUAAGUCCCGCAACGAGCGCAACCCCUAUUGUUAGUUGCCAUCAUUCAGUUGGGCACUCUAGCGAGACUGCCGGUAAUAAACCGGAGGAAGGUGGGGAUGACGUCAAAUCAUCAUACCCCUCAUGACCUGGGCUACACACGUGCUACAAUGGUUGGUACAACGAGUUGCGAGUCGGUGACGGCGAGCUAAUCUCUUAAAGCCAAUCUCAGUUCGGAUUGUAGGCUGCAACUCGCCUACAUGAAGUCGGAAUCGCUAGUAAUCGCGGAUCAGCACGCCGCGGUGAAUACGUUCCCGGGCCUU